CCCCCAAACCCCCACGGUCUACAUAGGAUCCCUCACAGACACACCCCCUUUUAAAGGCCACCUCAGUAGCCAUGACUGGGCCACUAGGUGGCUCACUAAGCCCAUCCCUGUGCCCAAGUCGUCACCACUUAGGGGAAUGAGCCCCCCACCAGAUCCCGGCUGCCCUGCCUCCCUCCCCAGCAUCCCCCUCCUCCCGAAGCUCCCCAUAACAAUCGGACUCCCUUCGGCCUGGCGGCCCCCACCCUCUCCCGCUUUCGCAUCACUGGUGCUCUUUCAUAAGCCACCAAACCUUAACACUACCUGCUUCUAAGGGCCUGGCUCCCUCUACAGGGCCGUCGGCUACGGAACCUGCCUCGCCCAAGCCCCGCCCCCAGCCAAGAAGAUGGAGGACGGAGCCUCGCUCCAUUGCCCAUUCCCACCCACUUCAACCCAAGUCCUCACCAAGCUCCCCCGCCCCGAAUUUUCCUGGCUUCCAUGGACCGAGUGCUCCUUUGGGCACCAGGGAGAAGGGAAAACUCGGGGAGCAGGGAGUCCCAAGGCGUGGGACUCCUCUUCUAAGUUGUUGCUCGCAAUUGUUUCAUAUAGUGCCAUGGCAGGAGACUUCAAAACGGUCACCGGGAUUUAUAGAAAACAGACUAAAAGAUGCUAGAGCUGAAGCAGGAGAAACACGCCAGCUGUGCCAAAGACAGUCAGCCCUCCGGCCGAGGUUCUGGACAGCACUGGACCCCGAAGGAAGAUGAGGGAGACGGCUCUUGCCCAAACCUCCAAGGACCAUCCCCUUAUUACUCACCGGCCUCAAGCUGCAGCUGGCCAUCAGCCGGCAAGCAGAUGCCAUUCUAAUAGGAGCCAGGCUCCUGAGUGCCACCUGCCAUGGGAUGGCAAGGUUCUCUUUGCUUUCACUUUGUGAUUGCGAUCUGGAAUUGCGCUUCUCUACAAAAGGCUAUCGUAUGACUGUUCCUUUGCCAAAAGUGAAGUUGAGAAUAAAGAUCUUAACAGGGA
Antechinus flavipes (yellow-footed antechinus) is the source of this 999-nucleotide long non-coding RNA. RefSeq lists it as uncharacterized. Lineage: Eukaryota; Metazoa; Chordata; Mammalia; Dasyuromorphia; Dasyuridae. The transcript has 2 exons. The record is from RefSeq and is a predicted model, not a curated record.